GUGGGGAAUAUUGGACAAUGGGCGGAAGCCUGAUCCAGCCAUGCCGCGUGUGUGAAGAAGGUCUUCGGAUUGUAAAGCACUUUAAGUUGGGAGGAAGGGCAGUAAGCUAAUACCUUGCUGUUUUGACGUUACCGACAGAAUAAGCACCGGCUAACUUCGUGCCAGCAGCCGCGGUAAUACGAAGGGUGCAAGCGUUAAUCGGAAUUACUGGGCGUAAAGCGCGCGUAGGUGGUUCAGCAAGGUGGAGGUGAAAUCCCCGGGCUCAACCUGGGAACUGCCUCCAAAACUACUGAGCUAGAGUACGGUAGAGGGUAGUGGAAUUUCCUGUGUAGCGGUGAAAUGCGUAGAUAUAGGAAGGAACACCAGUGGCGAAGGCGACUACCUGGACUGAUACUGACACUGAGGUGCGAAAGCGUGGGGAGCAAACAGGAUUAGAAACCCGUGUAGUCC
Molecule: ribosomal RNA, 450 nt
Filed under: uncultured bacterium
Lineage: Bacteria
Description: bacterial SSU rRNA
Rfam family: Bacterial small subunit ribosomal RNA
Source: RNAcentral